Molecule: ribosomal RNA, 497 nt
Filed under: uncultured bacterium
Lineage: Bacteria
Description: partial 16S ribosomal RNA
Rfam family: Bacterial small subunit ribosomal RNA
Source: RNAcentral
GAUGAACGCUGGCGGCGUGCCUAAUACAUGCAAGUCGAGCGAACAGACGAGGAGCUUGCUCCUCUGACGUUAGCGGCGGACGGGUGAGUAACACGUGGAUAACCUACCUAUAAGACUGGGAUAACUUCGGGAAACCGGAGCUAAUACCGGAUAAUAUAUUGAACCGCAUGGUUCAAUAGUGAAAGACGGUUUUGCUGUCACUUCUAGAUGGAUCCGCGCCGCAUUAGCUAGUUGGUAAGGUAACGGCUUACCAAGGCAACGAUGCGUGGCCGACCUGAGAGGCGGAUCGGCCACACUGGAACCGAGACACCGUCCAGACUCCUGCGGGAGGCAGCAGUAGGGAAUCUUCCGCAAUGGGCGAAAGCCUUACGGAGCAACGCCGCGUGAGUUAUGAAGGUCUUCGGAUCGUAAAACUCUGUUAUUAGGGAAGAACAAAUGUGUAAGUAACUAUGCACGUCUUGACGGUACCUAAUCAGAAAGCCACGGCUAACUACGUG